GGCGGCGUGCCUAACACAUGCAAGUCGAACGGAUUUGAGGGGCUUGCUCCUCAAGUUAGUGGCGCACGGGUGAGUAACGCGUAGAUAAUCUGCCUGAUGAUCCGGGAUAACACUUCGAAAGGGGUGCUAAUACCGGAUAAGCCCACGGGGUCUUUGGAUUCUGCGGGAAAAGGGGGGGACCUUCGGGCCUUCUGUCAUCAGAUGAGUCUGCGUACCAUUAGCUAGUUGGUAGGGUAAUGGCCUACCAAGGCUACSAUGGKUAGCUGGUUUGAGAGAAUGAUCASCCACACUGGAACUGAGACACGGKCCAGACUCCUACKGGAGGSAGCAGKGGGGAAUUUUGCGCARUGGGSGAAAGCCUGACGCAGCAACRCCGCGKGAGUGAUGAAGGCUUUCGGGUCGUAAAGCUCUGUCGAGGGGAAGGAAGUGUAUUGCGGSUAAUAUCCRSGAUCCUCGMCGGCGCCCCUCMWGAGAGCAGC
This 479-nucleotide ribosomal RNA is filed under the name uncultured Geobacter sp. RNAcentral describes it as "partial 16S ribosomal RNA". It matches the Rfam family "Bacterial small subunit ribosomal RNA", at positions 38 to 494 of the family's 1533-position model. Lineage: Bacteria; Pseudomonadati; Thermodesulfobacteriota; Desulfuromonadia; Geobacterales; Geobacteraceae. The record is from RNAcentral.